AAAAACUAUAAUUUAUUCGCAUUGGUUAUACACAACAAACUAUUUUCAUUUUUUGGUAUUAUAUGUAGACCAUAGCCUGUGCUGGUCAGAUUACAUCAAAUUUGAUAAAAGUCAUGCAACUUUUUAAAUCACAAAUAUCCAGCAGAUGGUGAACCUGCAGUUAUCAGAGUGAGAAAAUAAUCUUCAUUCUUUUCAUUCUAUGUACACUCUAAAUUUCAAGCAAUUGAAUCAACUCGGAAAGUGUUAUUCUGUGACCAAAAACAUUGACAAAAUAACUCUUUUCAAGUUGAUUCUCCGAAAUUUACAGUGUAGUUGUUUUGUAUUCGGUACCAAAAGAUAAAAUAAAGAAUGUAGUUUAUUUUCUCUGCAGAUAUUAUAAAUGUCAGCAAUUUCAAAGUUGGCCACAUUCUGCUGUACUGUAACGUGAUGUAAAGACAAUCAGGUAUUUGAAUCACACAA
Paramuricea clavata is the source of this 459-nucleotide non-coding RNA. Lineage: Eukaryota; Metazoa; Cnidaria; Anthozoa; Malacalcyonacea; Plexauridae. The record is from the annotation of a GenBank genome assembly.